GAGUUUGAUCCUGGCUCAGAUUGAACGCUGGCGGCAGGCCUAACACAUGCAAGUCGAACGGUAACAGAAAGCAGCUUGCUGCUUUGCUGACGAGUGGCGGACGGGUGAGUAAUGUCUGGGAAACUGCCUGAUGGAGGGGGAUAACUACUGGAAACGGUAGCUAAUACCGCAUAACGUCGCAGGACCAAAGAGGGGGACCUUCGGGCCUCUUGCCAUCGGAUGUGCCCAGAUGGGAUUAGCUUGUUGGUGGGGUAACGGCUCACCAAGGCGACGAUCUCUAGCUGGUCUGAGAGGAUGACCAGCCACACUGGAACUGAGACACGGUCCAGACUCCUAUGGGAGGCAGCAGUGGGGAAUAUUGCACAAUGGGCGCAAGCCUGAUGCAGCCAUGCCGCGUGUAUGAAGAAGGCCUUCGGGUUGUAAAGUACUUUCAGCGGGGAGGAAGGGAGUAAAGUUAAUACCUUUGCUCAUUGACGUUACCCG
Molecule: ribosomal RNA, 483 nt
Filed under: uncultured bacterium
Lineage: Bacteria
Description: bacterial SSU rRNA
Rfam family: Bacterial small subunit ribosomal RNA
Source: RNAcentral